UAUACACGAUAAUAAUUUCCAGUUAUCGAGUUAUAACAAUGAACAAUAGUAUUCACCGUGACACUUUUAUUAGUUUUGUGAUAACAGAAUGGUAUAUUAACUAAACGAAUAUCACUAAUUCAAUCAGUGUUUUCUUGAAUCCCCGAUCACAAGUACAUCUGAAGAUGUCACCUAUCGUAAAAAUUUGUCUGCUUAUGUUAGCUUUCUUAUGUUUGAGAGCAGCUAGCAAUGGGCAGUACUUUUAUAUGUUCCAAUUCGGAUACGUCAUUGUGCUUCUCUUGGCUUGAGCCCCCCCCCCACCCACCUGAUUUUGCUCAAGAUCCCUAUGGUUAUGGACAGAAUGGACCCCAUUAUCCUUAUGCAGAUUGAAAAGUUGAAAUAGUCUUCAAUAAGCCAAGAUGCUCUGAAAAGUUUGCAGUUUCACACUGGAUUGAAAAUAAGCGCUUUUUCCUCAUAUUAAAAAUAUUAUAAACUAUGCAUUAAAAUGUACUAUGUUAGU
Molecule: long non-coding RNA, 499 nt
Organism: Homalodisca vitripennis (glassy-winged sharpshooter)
Lineage: Eukaryota; Metazoa; Arthropoda; Insecta; Hemiptera; Cicadellidae
Exons: 3
Source: RefSeq, a predicted model, not a curated record